AUUGAACGCUGGCGGAAUGCUUUACACAUGCAAGUCGAACGGCAGCACGGACUUCGGUCUGGUGGCGAGUGGCGAACGGGUGAGUAAUGUAUCGGAACGUGCCCAGUCGUGGGGGAUAACGUAGUGAAAAUUACGCUAAUACCGCAUACGAUCUAUGAAUGAAAGCGGGGGAUCGCAAGACCUCGUGCGAUUGGAGCGGCCGAUAUCAGAUUAGGUAGUUGGUGGGGUAAAGGCCCACCAAGCCAACGAUCUGUAGCUGGUCUGAGAGGACGACCAGCCACACUGGAACUGAGACACGGUCCAGACUCCUACGGGAGGCAGCAGUGGGGAAUUUUGGACAAUGGGCGAAAGCCUGAUCCAGCCAUUCCGCGUGCAGGAUGAAGGCCCUCGGGUUGUAAACUGCUUUUGUACAGAACGAAAAGGUUUCUACUAAUACUAGGAGCUCAUGACGGUACUGUAAGAAUAAGCACCGGCUAACUACGUGCCAGCAGCCGCCGAA
RNAcentral lists this ribosomal RNA (499 nucleotides) under uncultured bacterium. RNAcentral describes it as "partial 16S ribosomal RNA". It matches the Rfam family "Bacterial small subunit ribosomal RNA", at positions 30 to 522 of the family's 1533-position model. The record is from RNAcentral.